Molecule: small nucleolar RNA, 194 nt
Filed under: Maudiozyma saulgeensis
Lineage: Eukaryota; Fungi; Ascomycota; Saccharomycetes; Saccharomycetales; Saccharomycetaceae
Description: Kazachstania saulgeensis Small nucleolar RNA snR32
Rfam family: Small nucleolar RNA snR32
Source: Rfam by way of RNAcentral
AACAUCAUAUAAUUAUCGCAAAUGUAUCACUAAUUUUAAUGAACUUUUUUCUUUAAUUGUUCAGGGGAAGAUUCAUCUCUUCAAUAUCUUCCUCGUUUAUUUCGGUAUACUUUAGCGUAGAGAGAACGAACGUUGCUGGGCGCCUUAUGUUGAUUAUUUCAGUGAGACAUUGGGAAUCAGCAGUAUCAACAUUU